This 70-nucleotide transfer RNA is filed under the name Marmota monax (woodchuck). RNAcentral describes it as "tRNA.Gly". The record is from RNAcentral. Lineage: Eukaryota; Metazoa; Chordata; Mammalia; Rodentia; Sciuridae.
GGGCUGGGGCUCAGCGGUUGAGCGCUCGCCUACCAUGCGUGAGGCACUGGGUUCAAUCCUCAGCACCACA